UUUUUCUCGUACUCUGAUUGGGCGAGAGGGUAUUACAAGUUUCGAUGUUCCCUUGGCAACGGCUUUCAGCGGGCAACAAUCGUUGACCUGGUAAUAAUACCGGAAGAGAUUUCCCCAGAAAUGUACGUUUUUCUAAUAAGUUUUUUAGAAAUCAAAUGAUCAAAAAAUCAAAUAGCUGCUUUUUUUCUUUGACACUUGGUAUGUAACAAAACACUUAUUGACUUGAACCUCGGGAAAGCAGUUCGCCUCGUGAAACAUCGAGGGGCCACGAAACACACUGUUCCCCUCGGUCCCAGUGAAUAAGUGUUAAAUAUGACAUAAGUCCAAUGAAUGGCGAAAAUUCUGAUCCAGAAAAGACUGACUGAAUUCAACAUGAUUGCUGUCAGAUAGCCCAAGCUGUGUAAUAAAGGCGUUUAAUCCGUGCCUGGCAGUGUUUCAUCAAGACAAAAAUAAUGCCAAAGCCAAGAAUUUCCACCUACCCCUCCCUGUAAUAAUAUAUACUUGUCACGCAACAUUAGGCUCUAUUAUGUAACAAAUGUAAUAUGACUCUCUCUCCCCUCUCUCUACACACAUUGUAUCAAGUUAAGCACCAGAAUAAGUAUGCCGAAUUAAUCAUCAUUAAAGCAAGCAAUCAUAAUCAAAGCCUCCACUAAAUAUCAUGACACUCCCCUAGUCAGAUCCAGUCUUUUCUAACCGAGUAUAGUAGUCCCAUAAUUCCUUGUGGAUCGAGUCAGUUCAUCCUCCACGUGCAGCCCAAGGCGAUUGAAGGUUGGUAAAUAUGAAGAAUUUCAGGGAAAGAAAGGUUAUUUUUAGGCCUAAAAUGUGGAUAAAGGCGAUAGCGUCUCUUCACCACGCGGACGACGUCAAGAUGGCGGACCACUCCAAGGACACUGUUGCUUCAAAAUGAGGGUUAAAGGGACUCCAGCAAAUACAACAAAGGGACUCGAGCAAAAACAACCUCAUGGAAGGUGCAGCAGAAGGAAGUCAAAACUGGUUGGCAAUGGACAAGUGGAGGUUCUGCAUAAAGAAUAUCAAACAUAGAGACAGAUAUCUAAAUAUCUGGGCUCUUAAUUACAGCUGUUGCAGAAGCAAGGACCAGAGAAUCACAGUUUGUCUUUAAGACACAGCUGAAUGUUGAGUAAUUACUCUCAAAAAUAAAACUUUGGCCCUAAUGAAUCAAAAAGAGACACUUCCAUUCAUGGCUUAUUCUUUCAAUCAGGAAAAAGCUAAAAUGCAAGGAAUUUUUCUUUGAAAAAAAGACAAUAUUUGGAAAGUGAUUAUCCAUUCUUCUGGGGAACAUCUAGAUAGGAUUUUUCACAAAGAAAACUUGUAUAAAUGUGAGAAGGAUAAUGUUCACCAAGAUACAGCUUAUAUUAAAUGGAAGCAAGAAUCUGAAUGGUGUUGCAUAAAAACGUGUAUCCAAAUGUUUGUGCUCAAGUCAUACAGGUGUUAGUAGAGGUGUACUCAUAUUGACUUUACUAAAAGAACAAGGAUGCCAGAUAAAGCAAUAAAACUGGAUUCAUUCAACAGUUACAACAGUUUUUUAUUUCCACCAAAAAAUAUAUACAUACAUAAAUUGAAUAAGUUACAAAUAUUGUGGGGAGUGCAAGGGAACAACCUCAGAGGUUAAACAAGCUCUUACACCCUUAAGAUGAAGAUGAGUAAUAUUUACAUAUAUGUAAGAUGGGAAGAAUCAUAUAUAGUACAGUAGUUUUCGUAGUUGAACAACUAGAAAUUUCAUAAAACAAAAUAAACGUACAGGAAAAAGAAAAAAUCAGUAGUUUGAUAUAAGAGGUCAUUAUAACGUUACGGACUCUUGAUUAUGCAAAGUAACACAGUUGUAACACAGGGAGUUUUGCCAAAAUGAGAAUCCUGAAAUAAUUUCAUAAUUAAAAUUGGACAACACAAAUCA
Molecule: long non-coding RNA, 1912 nt
Filed under: Actinia tenebrosa (Australian red waratah sea anemone)
Lineage: Eukaryota; Metazoa; Cnidaria; Anthozoa; Actiniaria; Actiniidae
Description: uncharacterized LOC116298570
Source: RNAcentral